Molecule: non-coding RNA, 1350 nt
Organism: Meleagris gallopavo (turkey)
Lineage: Eukaryota; Metazoa; Chordata; Aves; Galliformes; Phasianidae
Source: RefSeq, a predicted model, not a curated record
CCCAUGGGCUCAGCCAUGGGUUGGGGAUGCUCUGGGUCCAAGCUGUGCUGUCACUGUUCCCUCUCGUGUCGCAUUGAUUUCUGGUUGGGAUUUGUGGUGAGCUGAUUGCUCCGGUUGUGCGGCUCAAAACAGGCGUUUGGCAUUUCUGACUGAGCCUGGCCUGAUGUGAGGAGAGGGGCUCUCCGUGUCCCGGGAUGAGCCCCCAGCAGCACCUUGCUGCCUGCAGCUGCCAAACACGUGAGCUGGGAGGUGAAGCUGGGAAAAGCUUCCAAGAGCCCAACAGCGGGUGGAGUGGGUGGGGGAGCACGGGUUAUCAUGCGCCGGGAUGUGACGAAAGGGAUGGAAAACAAGAGCAAAAGGGGCCCAUUUCUUCUAGGUGAGAACGCCCAGCAUGUGCCGGAGCUGCCGCGGUGGCUCAGCUGUGCCGGUAAAGCGGUGGUGUUCAACGUCCAACCCAACCCUCGGCUCGUGGGGCAGAGCCGGGAUGCUGUCAUCUGAUGCAGGACUUUGGGACUCCCCACGGGGAGAUGCCCCGAAGCGUCAGCAGCUCCAUCCUGCUGGGAGGAGCAAGGAAGCGCUGCUCCGCUGCUCCCUGAGCACCAUCGGGCUGCCCUGGGCUGCUGGCUGCUUUCGUGACCCCGCCUGGGGGCUCCGUAGCGAACAGGGAUCUCCCAAGAGCUACUUGCUGGGCUCUCUGUUGAGCAAAGCCGAUGACUUGCAUGUGAGGCAUUAGCAAAUCUGGCUGUUUUUCUGUACUCGUCAGCCUAAAUUGAAUUGAGCUUGGAAAUGGAAGCCAGGAGUCUGUACCCUGGGGUGAGGAAGACUGGGUGAAAUUAGAGGUUCUUCCAAUAAAGAAGGGCCUGAAGGAAAACACCAGGGCCGGGUGUGAUCCUGUGGUUUUCUCCAACGGGGCUGUGCACCAGGGCUACAAAGAGGCGGUGCACUUCAAAGCCUGGCGUGUCUUCUGGCUUUGGAGCUCAGGUGCCUCAGUGUCCCCAUCUCCAGGAGUGGAAGAAGAAGCCUACAGCGGUGCUUUCUGCAGGCAUCUCCAGGGACACGCGAACAAAGGACAGAGCAGCUCUCGACUGAUGGCAUCCCUGCAUUUCCAGAUGCACGCACACACAAACACCUGUAAGAAAAGGCUCAAUCUCUGCCAUCUCUGGAGCACUCUAUAUGUGAACAAUAACCAUGGGUGUGUUGGGGUGCAGGCAAAGCACAGCUGUGCCCUUUGGGCACACACCUCUCCAGGCAGCGUGGGCAGCCCCGGCUCUGCUUGGGCUCUGCGCAGUGCAGUGAGCCCAUUCCUACCACCUGCAGCCCUGGGUCACGGAAAGGAGCUGUGGAACGGGG